Molecule: non-coding RNA, 276 nt
Organism: Phascolarctos cinereus (koala)
Lineage: Eukaryota; Metazoa; Chordata; Mammalia; Diprotodontia; Phascolarctidae
Source: RefSeq, a predicted model, not a curated record
CCCACAGGUAAAACUGGCCUGAGAGAACAGAGUUCCACAGUAUCCAUGGAUGGGGAGAGGGCUUUUGGAGGCUUACUUCUUAUAUUCCCAUGGGUCAGGGAGCAUUUUAACAGUCUGUAUCUCCACUGAAUUAAGAUUGUAUCUAAGUCCACAUCUGGACCAGAAAUCUUCAGAGAAAACACGAGUGUUCCAGGGAGGCCAGAGACAUUUACUCCAUUAAUUGAAGACUGAAUGGACAGACCACCGGCCCUGAAGUCAGAAGGACCCGAGUUCAAA